This 506-nucleotide long non-coding RNA is filed under the name Monodelphis domestica (gray short-tailed opossum). RNAcentral's name for it is "lncRNA (ENSMODG00000032566.2)". Lineage: Eukaryota; Metazoa; Chordata; Mammalia; Didelphimorphia; Didelphidae. The record is from RNAcentral.
GCACUCGCGUCCUGUGAGCACCUACCAAGUGCCAGACACCGUGCUGAGCGAUGGAAAUGCAAAGAAAGAUUUGUGGAAACCAGAUUAAGAACUCCUGCUUGGGAUAGAAGUGGAACCAAGAAAAAAUAUGUACAAUGACUGAAAUAAUGAAUAAUAAAGUGGAAGAAUUCCAUGGAGACUGGAACGACCUCCAGGAAGUGAUGCAGAGCGAGAGGAGCAGAACCAGGAGAACAUUAUACACAGAGACUGAUACACUGUGGUACAAUCUAAUGUAAUGGACUUCUCUACUAGCAGCAAUGCAAUGAUCCAGGACAAUACAGAGGAACUUAUGAGAAAGAACACUAUCCAUAUUCAGAGGAAGAACUAUGUUCAAUGAGGUUCAGCACCAACUUUCUCCUCUCAGGGAUGUGACCCUCUCAAGGCAAGAAUCUGAGGUCACAGAAGAGACUGGCCAGUCAACAACUGAGGUAGGCUUUACUUUCUAUCCAAAUGAAAUAUUUGUUGGG